RNAcentral lists this ribosomal RNA (487 nucleotides) under uncultured bacterium. RNAcentral describes it as "bacterial SSU rRNA". It matches the Rfam family "Bacterial small subunit ribosomal RNA", at positions 501 to 987 of the family's 1533-position model. The record is from RNAcentral.
CUACGUGCCAGCAGCCGCGGUAAUACGUAGGUCCCGAGCGUUAUCCGGAUUUAUUGGGCGUAAAGCGAGCGCAGGCGGUUAGAUAAGUCUGAAGUUAAAGGCUGUGGCUUAACCAUAGUACGCUUUGGAAACUGUUUAACUUGAGUGCAGAAGGGGAGAGUGGAAUUCCAUGUGUAGCGGUGAAAUGCGUAGAUAUAUGGAGGAACACCGGUGGCGAAAGCGGCUCUCUGGCUUGUAACUGACGCUGAGGCUCGAAAGCGUGGGGAGCAAACAGGAUUAGAUACCCUGGUAGUCCACGCCGUAAACGAUGAGUGCUAGGUGUUAGACCCUUUCCGGGGUUUAGUGCCGUAGCUAACGCAUUAAGCACUCCGCCUGGGGAGUACGACCGCAAGGUUGAAACUCAAAGGAAUUGACGGGGGCCCGCACAAGCGGUGGAGUAUGUGGUUUAAUUCGACGCAACGCGAAGAACCUUACCAGGUCUUGACAU